RNAcentral lists this transfer RNA (71 nucleotides) under Loxodonta africana (African savanna elephant). It matches the Rfam family "tRNA". Rfam says of the family: Transfer RNA (tRNA) molecules are approximately 80 nucleotides in length. Their secondary structure includes four short double-helical elements and three loops (D, anti-codon, and T loops). Further hydrogen bonds mediate the characteristic L-shaped molecular structure. tRNAs have two regions of fundamental functional importance: the anti-codon, which is responsible for specific mRNA codon recognition, and the 3' end, to which the tRNAs corresponding amino acid is attached (by aminoacyl-tRNA synthetases). tRNAs cope with the degeneracy of the genetic code in two manners: having more than one tRNA (with a specific anti-codon) for a particular amino acid; and 'wobble' base-pairing, i.e. permitting non-standard base-pairing at the 3rd anti-codon position. Lineage: Eukaryota; Metazoa; Chordata; Mammalia; Proboscidea; Elephantidae. The record is from Rfam by way of RNAcentral.
GCAGUGGUGGUUCAGCGGUAGAAUUCUCGCCUCCCAUGCAGGGGACUAGGGUUCGAUUUCCAAUCAAUGUA